This 396-nucleotide unclassified non-coding RNA is filed under the name soil metagenome. Its description in RNAcentral is "partial contains 5.8S ribosomal RNA, internal transcribed spacer 2, and large subunit ribosomal RNA". The stretch from base 1 to 122 matches the Rfam family "5.8S ribosomal RNA", at positions 35 to 154 of the family's 154-position model. The record is from RNAcentral.
GAUGAAGAACGUAGCGAAAUGCGAUACUUGGUGUGAAUUGCAGAAUCCCGUGAACCAUCGAGUCUUUGAACGCAAGUUGCGCCCGAAGCCAUCAGGUUGAGGGCACGUCUGCCUGGGCGUCACAUAUCGUUGCCCAAUGCCUAUUGCAGUGCAAUAGGAAUUUCUAGGGCGAAUGAUGGCUUCCCGUGAGCGUUGUUGCCUCGCGGUUGGUUGAAAAUCGAGUCCUUGGUAGGGUGUGCCAUGGUAGAUGGUGGUCGAGUUAGAACGAUACCGAUCAUGUGCAUGCUCCCCAAAAUAUGGCCUCUAUGACCCACACGCGUCUUUUGACGCUCAUGACGAGACCUCAGGUCAGGCGGGGCUACCCGCUGAAUUUAAGCAUAUCAAUAAGCGGGAGGA